GACGAACGCUGGCGGCGUGCCUAAUACAUGCAAGUAGAACGCUGAAGGAGGAGCUUGCUUCUCUGGAUGAGUUGCGAACGGGUGAGUAACGCGUAGGUAACCUGCCUGGUAGCGGGGGAUAACUAUUGGAAACGAUAGCUAAUACCGCAUAAGAGUAGAUGUUGCAUGACAUUUGCUUAAAAGGUGCAAUUGCAUCACUACCAGAUGGACCUGCGUUGUAUUAGCUAGUUGGUGGGGUAACGGCUCACCAAGGCGACGAUACAUAGCCGACCUGAGAGGGGGAUCGGCCACACUGGGACUGAGACACGGCCCAGGCUCCUACGGGAGGCAGCAGUAGGGAAUCUUCGGCAAUGGACGGAAGUCUGACCGAGCAACGCCGCGUGAGUGAAGAAGGUUUUCGGAUCGUAAAGCUCUGUUGUAAGAGAAGAACGAGUGUGAGAGUGGAAAGUUCACACUGUGACGGUAUCUUACCAGAAAGGGACGGCUAACUACGUG
RNAcentral lists this ribosomal RNA (495 nucleotides) under uncultured bacterium. RNAcentral describes it as "partial 16S ribosomal RNA". It matches the Rfam family "Bacterial small subunit ribosomal RNA", at positions 28 to 507 of the family's 1533-position model. The record is from RNAcentral.